GCCAGCAUGGUGUAGUGGUUUGAGUGUUGGACUGUGACUCUGGAGACCAGGGUUCGAAUCACUACUCAGCCA
This is a non-coding RNA of Phrynosoma platyrhinos (Desert horned lizard), 72 nucleotides long. NCBI's taxonomy places the organism in Eukaryota, Metazoa, Chordata, Lepidosauria, Squamata, Phrynosomatidae. The record is from the annotation of a GenBank genome assembly.